This 931-nucleotide long non-coding RNA is filed under the name Felis catus (domestic cat). RNAcentral describes it as "lncRNA (ENSFCAG00000053704.1)". The record is from RNAcentral. Lineage: Eukaryota; Metazoa; Chordata; Mammalia; Carnivora; Felidae.
AUGGACUCUGCUCAGGUGAAAUCUAAAUUGAUUUCAGCCUUUCAUCUAUUAUUUUAUAACAUUUUUAUUUCUCUGUUAGUGGAAAAGUCCUCAUCCUCUGAUUUGAAACAUGGAGAAAGGAAACGUGAAGCUAAAUUUGAUUUUGGAGAUUCUGGUUCAAAUCGAUUUGAUGACAUUGGCCUUAGUGAAAAUGUAAUAAAAGGUGACUCAAAUGCAAGAAAUGGGGAUGAAUAUUCUAGUGGUAUCUCUGAAGACUCAGGAUUCAAUUUGGGGUCAUCUGAUCAGCAGGGAUUUGGAAUCAGUGGAAUUGGUAGGAAUGGAGAGAGUGGCAGUGGAAUCGUGGGGGCUGGAUACUUGAGUCCUGGAUCUGAUGUCAGUGGCACAGGUAUCUUCACCUGGACUCUGUUCCCAAGAAAUACAAAUUAGUUUCUUCCUUCUUCAUUUCUUUUAAUCACACUUUUAAUCAAUUAAUUGAUUUUCCAUUAGGAGAAAAUACUUGGUCUUCUGGUUCUGGAAGUGGUGGAGGAAGGAAGGGUGCAGCUGGACUUGGUGUUGGUACUUCUGGACCAAAUGAAUUUGGUGAAACUGGCGUUAGUGGCACAGGUACCUGUGAUACUGGAAUGGAUGUUAUUGGGUCUGGUUCCCAUGGACGAGAAUUGGGAUUUAUGUCUGGCGUUUAGAGAGUCAGGAUUCUAACAUAUGUUAUAAAAUAACAAUGAAAAUCAUAAACAUCAAUAAUGAUAUAAAAAGCAAGACAAAAUCCUGAAAUGAUAAACUGUAUUUAGACGUGAUCAGGAAAAAAAAUCAUUUAAUAUUUUUUGUAGAAUGUGGAAUGAAUUUUGUGGCUGUGAUUAGAUUUAUGUGGAGUUGUUUUUGUUGCCUUCAUGCAAAAAUGAUUUGGAGUCGCAUAUGUGAAGAGGUGAUUUGUUGG